CUUCCUCAGCCUUACUCCAGGGGCUUUUGUUUCUGUAGAGUGCCCUGGCAUUGCCUGAGGAUAAACUCAAAGCAUGCUCGUUUCCCUCCCCAGUAAGAUUCUCGGUAUCCUUUGGGGCCUACCGUUUGAGCAAACAUU
Small nucleolar RNA from Anser brachyrhynchus (Pink-footed goose), 138 nucleotides. Lineage: Eukaryota; Metazoa; Chordata; Aves; Anseriformes; Anatidae. The record is from Ensembl.